Non-coding RNA from Paramuricea clavata, 201 nucleotides. Lineage: Eukaryota; Metazoa; Cnidaria; Anthozoa; Malacalcyonacea; Plexauridae. The record is from the annotation of a GenBank genome assembly.
UGUAACAAGCUUGAUGGCAUUAUCAGAGUUAUUACAAGGUUGUUCUAACACGUUUGAUACAUGCAGUCAUGAUAUAAAAAGAAUGUUACAAGGUUGACGACACAAGGUUGUAACAAUAUUGUUAUAUCAUGAUUCAUGACUGUAUCGAACUUGUUGGAACAACCUUGUAACAAGUCUGAUAACAUCAACAAAGUUGUUACA